GUCGUAAAAGGGGACGCGGAGGAGAAGGAAAGUCGCUCAAGCAGUGGACAGAGCGGAGAAAGCGACUUCGGGUUGGUUGAAGGUUCAGCCUGAGAAAACUCCUGAGCAUGUGCGAAAAAGAAAAGAAGAAAAGAAAAGUAAAGAAAAGAAAAAAGGAAAAAGGGCAAGCUCCUGAGUGGAUCUCUCAGGGAGCCACCAGACAGCCGCAGAGAGAAGAAGCUGCCCAAGAAUGGAAAGGAAGAAAUAUAUCACAUCAUCUGUCUGUCCACAGGCUUUCCUUGGGGCUUAUGAAGUGAAUGAAGGAGGGAAGAAAGGAGAGACAGAGAAAAUAUGGAUUUCCUCAUGGUUGUGAUUCCUCUUCACUCUUUUGAAUUUGGAAGGAUGGCAUACACAUCUGAAAAAUACCACUACUUCCUUCAUUGGACUGCAAGGUAUUUCUGUUUGGAAAAGUAAUGGAGUCCAGUCAACUUCAUUGAUCGCCAAGGACUGUCAAAAUUAUAAAACUUGCUGUGGAGCUCUGACAUGCCAGAAGCCGCUAGAAAAAGAAGUUUGACAUUCAGAAACUUAUCAAGAGGUUCUACUCUUUGGAUAGAGACCAAAAUCAUACUUUGAAUGAUAUGCAAUGCAAGACUCCCAAGAUUCUGGGCAGUGGCAGGGAGGUGCAGCUUCUAGUCUGCCGCAUGAUCACAAUGUCAGCUGGUCCCUCUUCUCAGGUGUAGAUCACCUAUUAUAAUUUUACCUAAUUUUGAUACUCUGAUAAGGAAAGUCCCAGGACUUAUCAGCUGGGAUAGGCCUCACUUACAAGACAGCUCUGUUCAGUAUUUGGAAGAAAGAAAGCCUGACAGGUUUCUUCGGAAAAGUGGCCAUCCAUGGAAUGAAUGAAAUGUUCUCUUUCUAUUCCAGGGAUUGCAGUGGCAAAGCUAGGCUAGGUCUUGGAGGCUGGUGUAAGGCGAUGUGGGUGAAGGCAGGAGGCUGAUGGAAAGACUGGGGGGAAGAAAAGCCGAAAUGGAUUCACGGUGCCUUGGAUGAAGGACGAGAGGGGAACUGCAAGCUCCUUCAACUGGUUCUGUCCGGUGAGAAGUGAUCAAGCUUGGGCUGACAAGAGGCUCAGGGAGCCCUCACGUUCUUUCGCUUUUUUACCUGCCAAUCAAACUGCUACAAGACAACACCCUGAUCUGGCAUGGACAUCGCGGGUCCAAGCCUGUAGCCCCAAAUCGGAUAAUCUCUGCAGCUGAUAACAAGCAAAAGAGAAGCCAGGCAACAGCCAUAUUAAAGAAGAAAACAAUCAACUCUGAGGAAGAAAUGUAAUGAAUUGAGUGCUGUCAGAGAUGUCUUCUGUUUGAACAAUCUGCGAUGGGCUGAAUGGCAGGGACUCCCUCAUCCAGUGCAGACACAGCCCAGGCAGACAGAAGGAAACGGAGCAUUAAUCCAACUGCAGUCACCCCAAAGUACAGGCCAUUUGGAUCCAGAAGAGAAACUGGUUCCUUCUACAAGCUCUCCCGUUCUCCCUGGGGCCCUUCACAGCCUCCUUGUCUACGUUGUGGCUGUGCUUUCCCUGAUCCAACUUAGAAAUAAUGUUUCAUUCAAGAUAAGGCUCGUGGCUUAGGAGAUUGUGACCUGGCUUGCAUCAUUCUAAGACUUCUAUCGUCUGUUUUCAAAACCCAAGGAGGACCUCCUUUUCUGUGUGAUAGUUCCUCAUGCUUUGCCAGCCACUGGGUCUUUAAGGAAGCUUGCCAAGAGUUCCCGGCUGGGAAGGACAGUUCGAGUUCAUCAUAGACAAUGAGCUGGCACCACAGUUUAAGUGACUCACCAACCUGGUUGCCCACUUCAAAAUGUCAAGAACCACACUAUCUAAUUGAAAGAACUGUGUUUUAGCAAAGUGUAAUUGGAUCGCCUGGCAAGAUCAUCUCAAACUAUGUCUCUGACCUUGCCUUUCAGUGGCUAUUUUGAGCACAAGAGGAGAAAGGAAAUGAUUCCUGAAUUAUAUCUUGUUUUUAAAAAUUAAGAUUAAUUAAUACUUGGUUUUAUGUUCAUUCCAUUGUAGGAACUUAGUGAUUAUUACAAAACAGUCAAAAUAGGUCAUAGCAAAAUGAACGUUUAAGAUUAGGUUAAAACAUUCCUCUGAAAUUUUAGUAUUCACUUUUGAAGUGUCAAUUACUAUAUUUCUGUAAUUUCUCAUUUUUUUCUUGGCUUAGAGUCAAGAUGAAAAAUGAUAUUUGAAUCAAAGACAUUGUUUUGUUAUAUAGCCACUCCUUUCUAAAAUGCAAAUCCACCCUCCCCUCACCAAUGCUUUAUUCUUUGUGCGCGCACACACACACACACACACACACACACACACACACACACACAGACAUACACAGAACCAGCACCCAAAUGGUAGAGGAGGUCCUUCCAAGACUUCUAGGACCUGGAUCAUGUAAGCAGUAGAUGAGAAAAUGAAGUAAGAGAUAUAGAGUAAUAACAAUAAAAGUCAAUGAUUUCAUUUUACAAAAAAGUCAUUGUGUAGUACUCAGAUAUUUUUAAGAGCAAGUAUUAUUAUGACUAAAGUAUAUUAUACUUCUAAAUUAUUAUGAUUCUCAUCUAAUUUCAAGCCACACAUAGGCGCCAUUUGAAAGCAUUUUGUGUUACAACCUAUCAACAAAAAUCAACUAAUAGUUUUAUAACGUGCAUAGGUUUACCCCAUGGGGAAUUAAAAUUUUUAUCUGCAAGUAUUUCUGUUGUUGUGAGACUUUAGGACAAGACAACAUUUGGUGUUAACAUAGAAGAAUAUUCUAUGGCUUUUUUAGCUUUAAAGUUCAUUACUCUAAAAUAAAGUACACGUGGUAUUUUUUUCUUCCUAGUGUUCUCUUAUUAUAUGUAGAGUAUUUUCGGUUGUUGUUUUUAACGUAUACAUUAUUUUUAUUAAGUCAUUUCAUAAAAGAUAAGAUAUAUACUAAUAGACCCUUGGUUUUCUCCUAAUUUAAUUAUUUCAAGUCAAGCAAAAUUGGGCAAUUUUCUUUCAGGAAAAAAAAAAUAUUGAGCAUGAUUUUGAGGUAAAACUGAUUAUUUACAGCAUCUUUUCUCUAAUAGGCUAACAUUUAUGAUGGAUCUUAUUUCAAAGUUGAUUAUUCUCAAAGAAAAGUGGAGAUAUUAGAAUUUCCGAGUAAAUUGCAUUGUUUUAAAAAGUACUUUAAUGCAUUGUUCACAUUGUUGCCAGCUAUUGACCAAAAAAGAGAAGAAGAAAAAAGAAAUAAAAAAAGCAGUAUCUGCUCCAAACGUCAAGUUUUGCAGUUUGAAAGACUUGUACAUUAUAAUUGUUUUUUUCUUUUUUGGAAAGCAGUAGUAAUUAAUACCAAAGGCAUAGACAAUUUAGGGCCAUAACCUCCCUUCCCCCCUCUCCACCUUUUUUUUUUUUUUUUUUUUUUUUUAACUUUAACCAUGAUAGGCAUCUCUGCAAGGUAGGUUUUAACAUAUUUUUUUCCUAAUUUUUUUCCCUCCAUUCAGUAAGAAGGAUAAGCUUUUAGAGUACCCAGUCACCGUGGUAACUGCCAAAAAAAUUCUCCUGAAGUUUGAAGAGGUCAGCUAGCAGGGUCAACAACCCUGGCCUCUCUCUGAGCUCGGUCUAGCAUGCCCCAGCCUGCGGUUGGAGUGUCAGGCCAGAUCUGACCCUGGGAGGUGGACCAUUCUGGCUCUGAUAUAAAUUUUUCGAGUCAGUUCAUGGCCUGGACUCUCCAGGUGGCCUCCAAAAUCGAUUUUGACCCCCUGACCCUGUCUCACGGAGGCAUAGCAUCCACCCUAAGUAAGGAUUUAGCCAGGAAUGACAGCUUUCCACUGAGUGUUAUUGGGGACAGUAUAAACAGUUUGGAAAGCAAGUAAGGAGGUGUGAGGGCUAGCAAUCAUUAAAAGCACAUUAAAAAACAAUUUUUAAAAAUCUUUAUUAGAGAAAGUUGUAAAUGCAUAUCUGUUACAGAAUUCCUGUGAUUUGUAGAGUUUUCUAGUCAGUUUUGAAUAUAAAUAGGUCACAUAUCUUUAUCUUUUUGCAUACUUUGUUACAAAUAUGCAAAUAAGAUAGGCAUACUUGCUACAAAAUAGGUACAGCAGGAAUGUAAUAUGUUCAGAAAAGGCAAACUGGUUAUUAAAACACAUUAACAGGUAAGGAGUUUCUAAUAUUUUAAAUACUAAAAUUUUACAUGUGUAUUUUGAAGUUUUUAAAAUGGAAAAAUAAAGAACCUUUAAAAAACCCAACAGUGUGGAAUAAAGAUAAACUUGUUGCACUCAAGGUACAUUUCUACUUUGUAAAGCAAGAAGCCAAUACACUCAGUUGGAUAAAAAUGAGAGAAAAAUUGUAAAUAUAGAGAGUUACAGCUUAUAGAGCUGAAGAGGAAUAAAACAAAAAAAAGUGUCUCUGAAUAACUUUAUGUAUUUUCAACAGUUUAAGAUAUCAGAAACUUGGAAAAUAAAUAUGAUAUAUAUAUAAAUCAUCA
RNAcentral lists this long non-coding RNA (4463 nucleotides) under Homo sapiens (human). RNAcentral describes it as "PREDICTED lncRNA (TCONS_00188968)". The stretch from base 913 to 1188 matches the Rfam family "SOX2 overlapping transcript exon 3". Lineage: Eukaryota; Metazoa; Chordata; Mammalia; Primates; Hominidae. The record is from RNAcentral.